Molecule: ribosomal RNA, 376 nt
Filed under: uncultured bacterium
Lineage: Bacteria
Description: bacterial SSU rRNA
Rfam family: Bacterial small subunit ribosomal RNA
Source: RNAcentral
UACGUAGGUGGCAAGCGUUGUCCGGAUUUACUGGGCGUAAAGGGAGCGUAGGCGGAUACUUAAGUGGGAUGUGAAAUACCUGGGCUUAACUUGGGUGCUGCAUUCCAAACUGGGUGUCUAGAGUGUUGGAGAGGAAAGUGGAAUUCCUAGUGUAGCGGUGAAAUGCGUAGAGAUUAGGAAGAACACCAGUGGCGAAGGCGACUUUCUGGACAAUAACUGACGCUGAGGCUCGAAAGCGUGGGGAGCAAACAGGAUUAGAUACCCUGGUAGUCCACGCCGUAAACGAUGGGUAAUAGGUGGAGGAGGUAUAGACUCGUCCUGUGCCGACGUUAACACAAUAAGUAACCCGCCUGGGGAGUACGGUCGCAAGAUUAAA